RNAcentral lists this non-coding RNA (521 nucleotides) under Pan troglodytes (chimpanzee). Lineage: Eukaryota; Metazoa; Chordata; Mammalia; Primates; Hominidae. The record is from RNAcentral.
AGUGUAAGCGAGGUCAGGCCCUCAAGAGUCUUGGGAUGGCUGAAGAGAGGAGAUCAUGACUAUAUCAAUAAUGGAGCCUGGGCCCAGACAACUGGUUAAGAGAGAGGUCAUUCUGACCUCAGAACAUAGGAGAGAUGGAUAUUGUACACCACAGAGUCCAGGAUGACUAGCAGUGAAGGAUUCAAAUGCCUGGCCAAAUCUCCUAUACAACCAGAGAGACCCAAGUCCCCAAAGACAAGAAGGGAUGAUGAAAUGGCCUCUGUAUGACAAGACUUGCCUAUGAGCCCUCCCAUUGCUAUAAGGAUGGGGAUCUUAGCGCAGUGCCUUGUGUGAACAGUAAUGCUAGCCUUGAUUUUACCAUGGCAAGUUUGUUUAGGGAAAAAUUCAACCCACCCAUUGAAAUUCCAACCUUGACCAAAUGAGGGAUGGCUGGGGAUGCAACCACAAAGAUACUGUAUCUUAGGAGCGGAGUUUUUUUUUUUAUAGAAACUCAUCAGGAUAUUAUUGUUAGGAUGUGUUGU